This 549-nucleotide ribosomal RNA is filed under the name uncultured bacterium. RNAcentral's name for it is "bacterial SSU rRNA". It matches the Rfam family "Bacterial small subunit ribosomal RNA", at positions 777 to 1328 of the family's 1533-position model. The record is from RNAcentral.
AAUAGAUACCCCGGUAGUCCACGCUGUAAACGAUGAGGACUAGAUGUUGGUAGGGGAACCUAUCGGUAUCGAAGCAAACGCGAUAAGUCUUCCGCCUGGGAAGUACGGCCGCAAGGUUGAAACUCAAAUGAAUUGACGGGAGCCCGCACAAGCGGUGGAGCAUGUGGUUUAAUUCGAUGCAACGCGAAGAACCUUACCUACCCUUGACAUCCUAGGAACCCUGCAGAGACGUAGGGGUGCCGAAAGGAACCUAGAGACAGGUGCUGCAUGGCUGUCGUCAGCUCGUGUUGUGAGAUGUUGGGUUAAGUCCCGUAACGAGCGCAACCCUUGCCCUUAGUUGCCAGCAUUAAGUUGGGGACUCUAAGGGGACUGCCGGUGAUGAACCGGAGGAAGGCGGGGACGACGUCAAGUCAUCAUGGCCUUUAUGGGUAGGGCUACACACGUGCUACAAUGGGGCGUACAGAGGGUAGCCAACCCGCGAGGGGGAGCCAAUCUCAGAAAGCGUCUCGUAGUCCGGAUUGGAGUCUGCAACUCGACUCCAUGAAGUUG